RNAcentral lists this ribosomal RNA (268 nucleotides) under uncultured bacterium. RNAcentral's name for it is "partial 16S ribosomal RNA". It matches the Rfam family "Bacterial small subunit ribosomal RNA", at positions 20 to 314 of the family's 1533-position model. The record is from RNAcentral.
UGGCUCAGAACGAACGCUGGCGGCAGGCUUAACACAUGCAAGUCGAACGCUCGUAGCAAUACGGGAGUGGCAGACGGGUGAGUAACGCGUGGGAAUAUGCCUUUUGGUUCGGAAUAACUCAGGGAAACUUGAGCUAAUACCGGAUAAGCCCGAUAGGGGAAAGAUUUAUCGCCAAAAGAUUAGCCCGCGUCCGAUUAGCUAGUUGGUGAGGUAAUGGCUCACCAGGGAGACGAUCGGUAGCUGGUCUGAGAGGAUGAUCAGCCACAUU